Nicrophorus vespilloides is the source of this 3422-nucleotide long non-coding RNA. RefSeq lists it as uncharacterized. The transcript has 3 exons. The record is from RefSeq and is a predicted model, not a curated record. Lineage: Eukaryota; Metazoa; Arthropoda; Insecta; Coleoptera; Silphidae.
GAACAGUCAGUCAGUUCAAGAUGGCGAUUGACGUUCGGCUAUAAACUUGGCCGUUCUUUUAUGCGAAUUUGCAAGAACCGUGUCGCCCGUUUCUGCGCGGAAUUUAUAGUUAUAUAGAACACGAAGACGGCUACGAAAUCUUCGCGGAGUCGCGUAUAAUAUAAUUAAAGAUUGAUAGAGAGAGAGAGAGAUAGAGUGUGAUAGAAGAGAAAAGCACGAAAGUUUUCAGAAGUGAUUCUGAAUCUGUGACCUCUCCUCCGAUCGUGCACUUCACGGACGACAUCGACGACGACGUUCAGGAUAGAAGAAGACACAGGGGCCCAGGGGAGGAUAAGGUGUUUGUGUUUAUAUUUGCUGGUGAAUGUUGACUAGAGCCCAGCAGCAGCAGCAGCAGCAGCGGCCCCACACCAAGAAGGCCAACAGGAGCAACGGCGACGGCACCAGUGCCUCCUACAUCGGUGGGGGGAAACAUUCGUCGCAACGAGCAGCAACAGCGGACCAUGGAUCGCCCCCUGAAAUUAUAAACACGAAAUUUGUGUUACCCUUGAACCGAACGACGUGUCCCGUGUAAGCAGCGUUAAACGUGAAAUCAAGUGGAGAGAAGACCACACGAAAAUAGCCCGACCUUCGCCAAGACAAGCCGACCUAUCCAAGCGAUUAGUGGUGGUGUGGUAAAUGUUGUGUGUGUGUGUGUGUGUUGGAAGUGUAUCAUCGUACAACACGUUGGCUGUUGUUGUACGAAUAGGAGGGAGGAGACCUAGUCGAAAAGAAGAGAUGUUUAAUGUAAAACAUUAAGUUUAGAAUGAUUUAGAAUGAGAAAGAGAGAUAAGUGUAAUUGAUUUUUUAGUGAGAGUCGCCUCCGUUCGGUAGAGGUCACUAAAUAUUGACCUCGCUCGGGGAGGUUACACUGUGUUGCGUGUACGUACGUACAUAUGUGUAUGUAGUAAGUAUGAGCGAGUAUGUAAGUGCGCACGAAAUGUACACGAACGGACGAUAUAGAUGUAUCCACACAAUUCGAAUAUUUCUAUCUAUCUUUCAUUCAUUAAACUAUCAUUAUCAUCAUCUUAAUUGUAAAUUGUUUCAUCAUCUCGUAUCGUUUCUCCAUUGACUUUGAAUAUCUCGUUUUUUUUUUUCUUUUUCCUGAGAAUUGUGUGCGAAGAGGCCACCGGAGGAGAGCCAGCACAACCUUCUUCUCCUUUUCUCGACAUUCGAUCUGUUUUCGCGUUUCGUGUUCUCCUCAGAUUUCGGGGUUACCGCGAUCCGACCGACCAUAGAUCAAGUAUAAAAAAAGUAUGCGAGAGAGCGAGAGAGAGAGGCGAAAGGUUAUGCAUGCAUGGUAACUACGGCAAUGCGUAAGAAGGUGACACACACACACACGCAUAUUUUUGGUCUGAUCGUGUUUGUCUCUCUCUCUCUUUGCCUUCUUUAAGAUCUGCGUGUCGCCGCCCCCGAUGUCCGUGAAACGACGGCGGGCCGCACGUGUCGUUUCUUCCCUUCCCUAUUCUCUUCUCUCCACUUAUCCAAUCGCUCUUUUCCAUAUUCGAUAUAUUUAUACACACACAAUGUGUCGGUAUUAUUACGAGCGGCCGCACAUUUCCAAUGCACAAGGUGACGACAGUAGAUAGUUCACGUUUUCAUGGAAAUAGUGAUUAAGCUAACGCUAUUAAGUUUCCGUAGAUUAUCAAUCAAAGUUGUUGCUUGCGCGAUUCGUUGGGUCGUCGGUUUUAUGCAAAAAGGGCGUUAGUAGGAAAGGACGUGGCGUGGCGGUAAAGGGGUCGAGGGGGUGUCGCUAACGAUUUGCUUGCAGACCUACAAACCACCCCUCUCGUCGUCGUCGUCGGUGGUGGCGGCGGCGGAAGGUCCUUGCGCAGAGAGUGCAACCCUCUUCUCUCUUUCUCUCUCUCUAUUAUCAAGGACUCCUCGCAUGCGGCACCAGAGACCGGCGCCGUUGCCACGUACACACACAUCCGAAGAUGCUUCUGCAAAUUGUUUCAUUUAGAUGAAACCAUCCACCCACAUCUAACGGGACAUUCUAUGAACUCAUAUUCCACGCAUAUUUCCUCUUCAGACUGAUUUUGUUAACGGAACUCUUUCUUUCUUUCUUCAUCUACGUCGUCUUCUUAUUCUUCUCCUCGUGGCUCUUCUUCUAUCUACUCUUGAAAAAAAAAAGAGGACGGCGUCUCAUGUGGAACGAUUCCAAUCGGAUGUUGUUCGUCGCAUAACGGAGACUAUUCGCGUACAUUAAUUACUAACAAUAAUCUUCGAGCACUAUUUUCGGUCGUUUUCAUCCAUACUCUUGGGAAUUAGGUAAAAAUCGGUUUAAAAGUUUCGCCGUUUCAGUCGAUUUAAUAACAAUAACGCACACUACUUUCACAAGCAAUCUGCGAGCACACAUUUCGAUUCUGUUUAUUUCUAUUUUCCAUUCACGCCACUUUCCUUCCUCUCCGCGGAACUGCAAUUUCACAAUUUGCAAAACAAACACCUACAAAAUAAUGGAAAUGUAAUGUCUACCUACCUCCCUCCCUCCCAAAGUAAUUUGCUAUUUGUAAUUGUUGUUUGUGUUUUUUGAGAUGAUUGACGUCGUGACUCCAACGUUCACGUUGGGUUUUUGGGGUUGGUGGUCGUUGCUUGGAGUUUCGCAGAAAACGUUGGUAGCGAUUUCGGAGACGAUGUGGCAACAUGUGGAGUUGGAGGUGGAGGAGGAAGGCGCAGAGAGCGCGACGCGCGUCCGUCCGUUCGUUCCUUUGCACGGGGGCAAUCGUUGCGCUCCGAAGUUGCCGUCGUCACCGUCGUUUUACAGUCUGAAUCUAUCCGUCGCAGGCGAUAGUCGCGUGUGAAGUAACGGAACAGAGAGAGAGAAAGACAAACAGACAAAACAUUGUGUGCAAGCGAGACAGAAGCGCGAAAUCGGACGAGAUUUUUGUUAGAUGUUCAGUCAGUCAGUCAUUCAGUAUAGAAGGGAAUUCCCGUACGAGUAUAGAAGUAGUAUAUAAUAUAGACUAGUAGUGAGUAGUAGUGAAUUUAGUUAGUUGGUUGGCAAAAUAAAUUGAAGAAAUCCAAGACCAAGACCAACCCUGAUAAUAUUUGCCGACUCCUUUGGAACGGACGAGGAGCACUGUCCACACUAUCUUCUGCGGAGGUGCUUUUGCUGCUGCUGCUGCUGGAACAAAAGAGAAGAAAUAACAUCGUCGUCGUCGCCUUCUCCGAUAUAAUCGGAACUGGCACACUGGAUUUUAAAAUAGAGAGCAAACUGAGGGAAUCUAUAUUUGGAUUUACUAAUGUCAGAAUGGCUUUAGCCAGGUGAGUAAUCAAAAACGAUUUCUUCUUUUACUUUUUUAAUUUUGGAACGAUGAAAGGAAGAAGCUACUUACUGCUGGUACGAGCACGGUUAGGUGAGGAGAUUACACGCGAAAUAGAGAGAA